This 184-nucleotide small RNA is filed under the name Pseudomonas sp. BAY1663. RNAcentral's name for it is "RgsA sRNA". It matches the Rfam family "RgsA sRNA". From Rfam's summary of the family: P16 sRNA appears to be conserved across several Pseudomonas species and Azotobacter vinelandii. In these species it is consistently located downstream of a predicted TatD deoxyribonuclease gene. The record is from Rfam by way of RNAcentral. Lineage: Bacteria; Pseudomonadati; Pseudomonadota; Gammaproteobacteria; Pseudomonadales; Pseudomonadaceae.
CAGCCACGGCCGGAUGUAUUCCAAAUGCGUUUAAAAAGCACGGAAAUCCGGCCUGCAAAGCCCUCUGAUCGGGCUAAUACUUGAGUAACUGGCUAGGCAAUCCCCCCACUGCCUGCCAGAUGAGGUCGCGAGGAUUGCGAUUUCAUACUCCUAAUGGUCUUGGCCCGGCUUCCCUGGAAACCGG